RNAcentral lists this ribosomal RNA (775 nucleotides) under uncultured Neocallimastigales. RNAcentral describes it as "partial large subunit ribosomal RNA". It matches the Rfam family "Eukaryotic large subunit ribosomal RNA", at positions 18 to 644 of the family's 3401-position model. The record is from RNAcentral. Lineage: Eukaryota; Fungi; Neocallimastigomycota; Neocallimastigomycetes; Neocallimastigales.
UCAGACGAUGCGUCAUGCAUAUCAAUAAGCGGAGGAAAAGAAACUAACAAGGAUUCCCCUAGUAACGGCGAGUGAAGCGGGAAGAGCUCAAAUUUGAAAUCUUAAAGGGUUUCCCUUUACGAAUUGUAGUUUAAAGAAGUGUUUUCUGUUGAGGUUUUGGUAAAAGUUCUUUGGAAUAGGACAUCAUAGAGGGUGAGAAUCCCGUAUUUGACCUUUACUUUCAACUUUGUGAUACACUUUCAAAGAGUCGGAUUGUUUGGGAAUGCAGUCCAAAAUGGGUGGUAAAUUUCAUCUAAAGCUAAAUAUUGGCGAGAGACCGGAUAGCGAACAAGUACCGUGAGGGAAAGAUGAAAAGAACUUUGAAAAGAGAGUUAAACAGUACGUGAAAUUGUCAAAAGGGAAGCGUUUGACACCAGUGUUGUUUUUCUGAAAAUCAAUUAAAGAACUGUUUAUGCUAAGUUGUUUAGACUUUAUCAGCUAACUGUUUAGUUUUGAGCUUUUCUUUAAUGCACUUUUCAGUUAACAAGUCAACAUCAAUUUCUUUUGCUGUAAAAAAGCUUGAGGAAGGUGGCUUGAGAUUCGUCUUAAGUGUUUAUAGCCUCUUGCCUAUGCAGUCGGAGAGAUUGAGGUCUGCAGCGUAGAUCCUUCGGGGCUAAAUGCAUUUGUGCUAAGUUAUAGCAUUUUAUAGACAACUUGUUGACUAUGAUUUGUCUUGUAGCUUACUCGCUUAUGUUAUUUUACCUACGCUUAGGAUGUUGAAUCUGUGCGAGACUAC